UGGAAAUGGGCCUAAGGGACGAGGCAAACCUAAAUGGCAAUCCAAGGCAAAAGUUCCUAAGAAAAUAGUUCCUAAGGAAGGAAUCUGCUUCCAUUGCAAGGAACCAGGGCAUUGGAAGAGAAAUUGCAAACUCUAUUUGGAUGAGUACAAAGAAGAGUAGUGAGACUACGACUUCAGGUAUUUAUGUUAUAGAUAUUAAUUUAUCUAUUUCUACUUCAUGGGUAUUAGAUACCGGAUGUGGCUCUCACAUUUGUACAAAUGUGAAGGGUCUUAAAAGGAGUAGAAAACUGAAAAAGGGCGAUGUGGACCUACGUGUAGGCAAUGGAG
RNAcentral lists this long non-coding RNA (327 nucleotides) under Manihot esculenta (cassava). Its description in RNAcentral is "long non-coding RNA (MESC_LNC005529)". The record is from RNAcentral. Lineage: Eukaryota; Viridiplantae; Streptophyta; Magnoliopsida; Malpighiales; Euphorbiaceae.